CAAGUCGCACGGGCAGGGGCAACUCUGUCAGUGGCGGACGGGUGAGUAACGCGUAGGUAUCUAUCCUGAGGUGGGGGACAACCGUGGGAAACUACGGCUAAUACCGCAUGAUGCCCGAGGGCCAAAGGCGCAAGUCGCCUUGGGAGGAGCCUGCGUCCGAUUAGCUUGUUGGUGGGGUAACGGCCUACCAAGGCUCCGAUCGGUAGCUGGUCUGAGAGGAUGAUCAGCCACACUGGGACUGAGACACGGCCCAGACUCCUACGGGAGGCAGCAGUAGGGAAUAUUGGACAAUGGGCGAAAGCCUGAUCCAGCAAUGCCGCGUGGGUGAAGAAGGUCUUCGGAUUGUAAAGCCCUUUCGGCGGGGACGAUGAUGACGGUACCCGCAGAAGAAGCCCCGGCUAACUUCGUGCCAGCAGCCGCGGUAAUACGAAGGGGGCUAGCGUUGCUCGGAUUGACUGGGCGUAAAGGGCGCGUANGCGGCUUGUACAGUCAGACGUGAAAUUCCUGGGCU
Molecule: ribosomal RNA, 511 nt
Filed under: uncultured bacterium
Lineage: Bacteria
Description: bacterial SSU rRNA
Rfam family: Bacterial small subunit ribosomal RNA
Source: RNAcentral